Long non-coding RNA from Phalaenopsis equestris, 205 nucleotides. RefSeq lists it as uncharacterized. Lineage: Eukaryota; Viridiplantae; Streptophyta; Magnoliopsida; Asparagales; Orchidaceae. The transcript has 2 exons. The record is from RefSeq and is a predicted model, not a curated record.
UUUGAGGCGCCCAAACCAAACCAAGGCUUUAAAUUGAAUUAGGGUUUCAUUUUGACGAACAGUGUGUGCGGGAAGGAGGCGGCUGACGGUGCAAGAGGGUGAGAGGCAUUCAGUACUAAUCCGCCGGAAUGGGUAUCUCCAGGGAUUCCUUGCACAAGAGGCGAGCCACCGGCGGCAAGAAGAAGGCGUGGAGGAAGAAGAGAAA